CAAGUACUUCCUCUGUCCGGAAUUAGUUGUCAUCAAAAUGGAUGUGUCUAGAACUAAAAUACAUCUAGAUACAUCCAUUUCAAUGACAAGUAUUUUCGGAUGGAGGGAGUACAAG
Non-coding RNA from Triticum urartu, 115 nucleotides. NCBI's taxonomy places the organism in Eukaryota, Viridiplantae, Streptophyta, Magnoliopsida, Poales, Poaceae. The record is from Rfam.